CCGCGUGCCCCGCGGGUCACGGGGCGGCCUCCGCGGAGCUCACCUGUGGCUCCGUUACGAGGCUUUGGGCGGCGGAUGCUCGGCUCGGCCCUGCCGCUCCGCAGAGGCCGCAUGGCCCGUGCCCCGGGGCGCCCCCCCCCCCCCCGGGAGGCUGGUCCUGCGGGUCCCCGAGGGCGCCGGGCUACCCCGGGCUCCGAGCCCCCUUCUCAGCGCGGCCGCCGCGACCCCGGCAGCGACCUCGGGGAGCCGAGGGGCCCGCAGGAGGGCGCGACCUGCAGGUGGGCGCGUGCACGCGUGUGGCGGAGGAGAAAGGUCUGAGAAAUAAAUGCUCAUGUGUUUGAGGACAGCGUGGUGCCUCCCUCGUGGCUGUCUUCUCCCCAACUACUCUUCAGAUCCUCGCCCUCCACCUUGAGCCCAGCUGCCUCCUCCAAGAAACUCACCUGGAUCGUGGUUUCCUCUCAGCGCACGGUACUUUAUCCCUCCUUGGAGCCCCUGAAGCCUCAAUGGCCUGUUCAGCUUGCCUGGCAUCAUCUCAUCCUGCCAUCUUGCCAUAUAAGUGAGAUUUCUUUCCCCCUUCCUAGAUCAUGGUCCUGAGAAGAGUCCGAGAAACCCUUUAAUGCAAAGCCAAGCUGAAACUAAAAAGCAGACGCAUCCAAAGGGAUUUGCCUGGCUAACUUCUCUAACAGACCCACAAUCCGCUAGAGCUUCCUCCGUGAUAUCUAUAUCGUGGGAUACCAUUCAGCUCCAAAAAGGAAGGAAAUUCUGAUGUGUGCUACAACACAAAUGAAACUUGAGGACAUUUUGUUCAGUGAAAUAAGCCAGUUACAAAAAGGACGAACAGUAGAUGAUUCCACUUAUAUGAGGCACCUACAGUCGUCGAACUCAUAGAGACGGAAAAUAGAAUGGCUGUUGCCAGUGAGGAGGGCAUGGGGAGCUAGUGUUCAAUGGAGACAGGGUUUCGGUUUCAUAAGGUAAAAAGGGUUCUGAUACAGGUGGCGGGGAUGGUGCAGACAAUGUGAAUGUCCUUAAUGCCACCAAACCACACACCUAAAAGUGGUCAAGUGGUAAAUUUUAUUCUAUGCAUAUUUUAUCAUGCAAAAAAUAUAUAUACGUGAUUAAAAUAAGAGACGCUUGGGUGGCUCAGUGGUUGAGCAUCUGUCUUCAGCUCAGGACAUGACCCCGGGGUCCUGGGAUCAAGUCUUAUAUGGGCUUCUUGCAUGGAGCCUACUUCUCCUGCCUGUGUCUCUGCCUCUGUCUCUGUAUCUCUCACGAAUAAAUAAAAUCUUUAAAAAUAAUAAUAAUAAUUAAAAUAAAAUAAUCUUUCCUCGGUGAAGCAGGGCCCAGUUGGCCAAGAUGUUUUCCCUCCCUGAGUGUCACGAUUUCAAAGUGUGAGCUGGAAGCAGACAGGCCGCUUCUGCUGUACCCCCAGGCUA
RNAcentral lists this long non-coding RNA (1433 nucleotides) under Canis lupus familiaris (dog). Its description in RNAcentral is "lncRNA (ENSCAFG00030007759.1)". The record is from RNAcentral. Lineage: Eukaryota; Metazoa; Chordata; Mammalia; Carnivora; Canidae.